This 253-nucleotide ribosomal RNA is filed under the name uncultured bacterium. RNAcentral's name for it is "partial 16S ribosomal RNA". It matches the Rfam family "Bacterial small subunit ribosomal RNA", at positions 524 to 776 of the family's 1533-position model. The record is from RNAcentral.
UACAGAGGAUGCAAGCGUUAUCCGGAAUGAUUGGGCGUAAAGCGUCUGUAGGUGGCUUUUUAAGUCCGCCGUCAAAUCCCAGGGCUCAACUCUGGACAGGCGGUGGAAACUACUAAGCUGGAGUACGGUAGGGGCAGAGGGAAUUUCCGGUGGAGCGGUGAAAUGCGUAGAGAUCGGGAAGAACACCAGCGGCGAAAGCGCUCUGCUGGGCCGACACUGACGCUGAGAGACGAAAGCUAGGGGAGCGAAUGGG